Molecule: ribosomal RNA, 508 nt
Filed under: uncultured bacterium
Lineage: Bacteria
Description: partial 16S ribosomal RNA
Rfam family: Bacterial small subunit ribosomal RNA
Source: RNAcentral
GAUGAACGCUAGCUACAGGCUUAACACAUGCAAGUCGAGGGGAAACGAUAGAGAAAGCUUGCUUUUUCUAGGCGUCGACCGGCGCACGGGUGAGUAACGCGUAUCCAACCUGCCCAUCACUUGGGGAUAACCUUGCGAAAGUAAGACUAAUACCCAAUGAUAUCUCUAGAAGACAUCUGAAAGGGAUUAAAGAUUUAUCGGUGAUGGAUGGGGAUGCGUCUGAUUAGCUUGUUGGCGGGGUAACGGCACACCAAGGCGACGAUCAGUAGGGGUUGUGAGAGGAAGGUCCCCCACAUUGGAACUGAGACGCGGUCCAAACUCCUACGGGAGGCAGCAGUGAGGAAUAUUGGUCAAUGGGCGAGAGCCUGAACCAGCCAAGUAGCGUGCAGGAUGACGGCCCUAUGGGUUGUAAACUGCUUUUAUAAGGGAAUAAAGUGAGUCUCGUGAGACUUUUUGCAUGUACCUUAUGAAUAAGGACCGGCUAAUUCCGUGCCAGCCGCCGCGGUAA